UACGUAGGGUGCGAGCGUUAAUCGGAAUUACUGGGCGUAAAGCGUGCGCAGGCGGUUCGUUGUGUCGGCGGUGAAAGCCCCGGGCUUAACCUGGGAAUGGCCGUUGAAACUGGCGAACUGGAGUGUGGCAGAGGGAGGUAGAAUUCCACGUGUAGCGGUGAAAUGCGUAGAUAUGUGGAGGAAUACCGAUGGCGAAGGCAGCCUCCUGGGCCAACACUGACGCUCAUGCACGAAAGCGUGGGGAGCAAACAGG
Molecule: ribosomal RNA, 253 nt
Filed under: uncultured bacterium
Lineage: Bacteria
Description: partial 16S ribosomal RNA
Rfam family: Bacterial small subunit ribosomal RNA
Source: RNAcentral